GACGAACGCUGGCGGCGUGCUUAACACAUGCAAGUCGAGCGGUAAGGCCCUUUCGGGGGUACACGAGCGGCGAACGGGUGAGUAGCACGUGGGUGACCUGCCCUCAGCUCUGGGAUAAGCCCGGGAAACUGGGUCUAAUACCGGAUAUGACUCCAUGACGCAUGUUGUGGGGUGGAAAGCCUUGUGCGGCUGAGGAUGGGCCCGCGGCCUAUCAGCUUGUUGGGUGGGGUGAUGGCCU
RNAcentral lists this ribosomal RNA (238 nucleotides) under uncultured bacterium. RNAcentral describes it as "partial 16S ribosomal RNA". It matches the Rfam family "Bacterial small subunit ribosomal RNA", at positions 28 to 266 of the family's 1533-position model. The record is from RNAcentral.